Molecule: ribosomal RNA, 253 nt
Filed under: uncultured bacterium
Lineage: Bacteria
Description: partial 16S ribosomal RNA
Rfam family: Bacterial small subunit ribosomal RNA
Source: RNAcentral
UACGUAGGGUGCAAGCGUUAAUCGGAAUUACUGGGCGUAAAGCGUGCGCAGGCGGUUUUGGAAGUCUGUCGUGAAAUCCCCGGGCUCAACCUGGGAAUUGCGAUGGAGACUGCAAGGCUAGAAUCUGGCAGAGGGGGGUAGAAUUCCACGUGUAGCAGUGAAAUGCGUAGAGAUGUGGAGGAACACCGAUGGCGAAGGCAGCCCCCUGGGUCAAGAUUGACGCUCAUGCACGAAAGCGUGGGGAGCAAACAGG